AGAACGUCGUGAGACAGUUCGGUCCCUAUCUGCCGUGGGCGUUGGAGAUUUGAGAAGAGUUGCUCCUAGUACGAGAGGACCGGAGUGAACGAACCUCUGGUGUUCGGGUUGUCACGCCAGUGGCAUUGCCCGGUAGCUAUGUUCGGACGGGAUAAACGCUGAAAGCAUCUAAGCGUGAAGCCUCCUUCAAGAUGAGAUCUCCCUGGGAUCUUGAAUCCCCUAAAGGGCCGUUCGAGACUAGGACGUUGAUAGGCUGGGUGUGGAAGCACGGUGACGUGUUGAGCUAACCAGUACUAAUUGCCCGUGAGGCUUGACCAU
This 318-nucleotide non-coding RNA is filed under the name Beta vulgaris subsp. vulgaris (sugar beet). RNAcentral's name for it is "Bacterial large subunit ribosomal RNA". It matches the Rfam family "Bacterial large subunit ribosomal RNA", at positions 2613 to 2925 of the family's 2925-position model. The record is from Rfam by way of RNAcentral. Lineage: Eukaryota; Viridiplantae; Streptophyta; Magnoliopsida; Caryophyllales; Amaranthaceae.